UCGCGUUUGGCUGCGCGGAAACUAAGACUUCUCCCCAGAGUUGCGGAGGACGCGGCCGCCGCCCCUCCCAACUCCUCAGGCCUCCGAGGCCGGGUCCAGAGCCCUCAGUUCCUUCUGAAACCCUGGAGCGGAAUCAGAAGUGCGCGUGGCCACAGCGGCGCCUCCUGCCCUUUAGCCGCCGCUGGCCCAACGGUUUCCCCAGCAGUAGCCUCUGCGACCAGGAAAAAAAAUCACCAUUAUCUGGCCAGGCGCGAUGGCUAGUGCCUGCAGUCCCAACACUUUGGGAGGCCGAAGCGGGCAGAUCGCUUGAGCUCAGAAGUUCAAGACCAGUCUGGACAAUAUGGCAAAACCCGGUAUCUACAAAAAUAAAAAUAAAUAAAAAUAAAAAUUAGCCAAGCAUAGUGGCACUGUGCCUGUAGUUCCAACUACUUGGGGGGCUGAGGUGGGAGGAUCACCUGAGCUUGGGAGGUUGAGGUGGUGGUGAACAGUGAUUGUGCCACUGUACUCCAUCCAGGCGACAGAGUAAGACCCUGUCUGAAAUUAAAAAAAAAAACAAAAACAAAACUGGCCGGACACGGUGACUCACACCUGUAAUCCCAGCACUUGAGCUCAGGAGUUGGAGACCAGCCUGGUGAAAUUAUGUCUCAUUAUUAUUUAUACAAAAUAAACUUUUAAAGAAUAUAUAUAUAUAUAUAUAUAUUUUUUUUUUUUUUUUUUUAGUGAUGAGACUCUCACUAUGUUGCCCAGGCUGGAGGGCAGUGGCUAUUCAUAGUGGCAAUCAUAGCACACUGCAGCCUUGAACUCCUGGCCAACAUGGCGAAACCCUGUCUCUACUAAAAAUACAAAAUUAGCUAGGCAUGGUGAUGCGGGUCUGUAAUCCCAGCUACUAGGGAGGCUGAGGCAGGAGAAUCGCUUGAACUUGGGAGUUGGAGGUUGCAGUGAGCUGAGAUCGUGCUACUGCACUCCAGCCCAGGUGACAGAAAGCUAGACUCCAUCUCAAAAAAAAAAAAAAAAAAAAAAAAAAAAGAAUUAUAGGGAGAAGUCCAGGUACUCA
This 1054-nucleotide long non-coding RNA is filed under the name Homo sapiens (human). RNAcentral's name for it is "HSALNT0396054". The record is from RNAcentral. Lineage: Eukaryota; Metazoa; Chordata; Mammalia; Primates; Hominidae.